RNAcentral lists this long non-coding RNA (730 nucleotides) under Salvia miltiorrhiza (redroot sage). RNAcentral describes it as "long non-coding RNA (SMIL_LNC002882)". The record is from RNAcentral. Lineage: Eukaryota; Viridiplantae; Streptophyta; Magnoliopsida; Lamiales; Lamiaceae.
AAAAUUGUUGAUCUAAUAAAUUAUAAGAGAUCCUUUACUAAACAAAAAUUGGGCUCAAAUAUAUAUUUAAAUUCGAAGGCCCAAAUACUAAAUGCAUAUACAUAACAUCAAAUUGCAGCCCAAAUGUUCAUUAAUAAAAUAAAAUUUGAGCUCACACAUUUAAAUAAAUUAGGCCCAAGAAUUAGCAGCCCAACACCCAUUUCAUACCUCAUUUAAUCUCACUCUCUCUCUCCCUAAUUCAAUACACACACGCACACAGAAAACACACUCAUACACGCACAAACCAGCGCACCCUCUCUCCCUCUCUCAGCCUUCCCGCUGCCGCCGCCGCCUGAAGACGGCGUCGCCCAGCGCCUUCCUUCUCUCUCCCAGCCUCCAUCUCUCUCCCUGACCCCUCUCACCCUCUCGACCAGUCGGCCACCGGUGAAGAGCGCCGGCGCCGCCCCUGUUCCAGCGAGCAGCCAGCCGCCGCCGUUACACCGAACGCCGUCUCCUCCAGCCCGGCGCUGUCCCCCUUCUCUUCUUUCUUCGGCCGGCAGCAACGACUGCUGUCGCCGUCACCUCGGCGGACAACAGAGCUGCUCCGCCGCCUCCUCCCCUUUACCCCAGAUCUGGCGCCGCCACCGCGCCUGUUUCUCCGGCGAGGGCGCUGCCUACCUCCACUCCACACCGGCGCCGUUCAGACGCCCACUCCCCUGUCUACUCUAAGCCUCAACCCACUUCCUCUUCU